AUGCCACCUUUCAAAGGUGGCAGCAUGACCACGAAGAUGCUUUUCCCAGAGAGAGGCUUAUCCAUUGCACUUCAGAUGUGGUGACCCUGGUGAUUUUCUUAACUAUGGGAAUGAGACUGCAUAAUUUGUAGUAGUGGGGGGACUGUGUUCAUUCUCUACCCUU
Molecule: small nuclear RNA, 163 nt
Organism: Echinops telfairi (small Madagascar hedgehog)
Lineage: Eukaryota; Metazoa; Chordata; Mammalia; Afrosoricida; Tenrecidae
Product: U1 spliceosomal RNA
Exons: 1
Source: RefSeq, a predicted model, not a curated record